CAUGAAGGGCAAAAGGUCAGCUUUUUUGCCAACUCGGUCAGGUUCGGAAGAAAGCAGCCGUAACAUAAAACUGAGGUUUUUGUCCCUUCGCCUUU
Molecule: signal recognition particle RNA, 95 nt
Filed under: Alphaproteobacteria bacterium
Lineage: Bacteria; Pseudomonadati; Pseudomonadota; Alphaproteobacteria
Description: signal recognition particle sRNA small type
Rfam family: Bacterial small signal recognition particle RNA
About the family: The signal recognition particle (SRP) is a universally conserved ribonucleoprotein involved in the co-translational targeting of proteins to membranes. Archaeal SRP consists of a 7S RNA and homologues of the eukaryotic SRP19 and SRP54 proteins.
Source: RNAcentral